UUGACGGGAGCCCGCACAAGCAGCGGAGCGUGUGGUUUAAUUCGAUGCGACACGAAGAACCUUACCUGGGUUUGACAUGUAUGUAGUAGGGAAGCGAAAGCGGACCGACCCGCAAGGGAGCAUACACAGGUGCUGCAUGGCUGUCGUCAGCUCGUGCCGUGAGGUGUUGGGUUAAGUCCUCUAACGAGCGCAACCCUCGUUGCUAGUUAAAGAUUUCUAGCGAGACUGCCGGGAUAUAACCGGAGGAAGGUGGGGAUGACGUCAAGUCAGCAUGGCCUUUAUAUCCAGGGCUACACACACGCUACAAUGGUCGGUACAGAGGGAAGCCAAGCCGCGAGGCGGAGCUAAUCUCACAAAGCCGAUCUCAGUUCAGAUUGCAGGCUGCAACCCGCCUGCAUGAAGGUGGAAUCGCUAGUAAUCGCGCAUCAGCAUGGCGCGGUGAAUACGUUCCCGGGCCUU
Molecule: ribosomal RNA, 459 nt
Filed under: uncultured Caldilineaceae bacterium
Lineage: Bacteria; Bacillati; Chloroflexota; Caldilineae; Caldilineales; Caldilineaceae
Description: bacterial SSU rRNA
Rfam family: Bacterial small subunit ribosomal RNA
Source: RNAcentral